UGCUCUAUACUUUCUGUUGUUAGUUGUUACUUUAGAACAUUAUUAUGCUAUAUCCAUGCCAUAUAUGAUUUUCUGGUUUAUCAUUGAUGUUUUUUUGUUAUGUGCUUAAUAUUCGUAUUCGCAAUGUUUAUCAUUGAUGGUGUUUUGUUUUGUGAUUUAGGUUUUUUUGUGUGUUUUAAUUCUUAAUUUUUGAAGAUUCUAAUAUUUUGUUUUGGUUGAUUUUAUGAUGUUUUUGGUUUGGUUAGUGG
RNAcentral lists this long non-coding RNA (248 nucleotides) under Lathyrus oleraceus (garden pea). RNAcentral's name for it is "Pisum sativum (pea) long non-coding RNA (PSAT_LNC035651)". Lineage: Eukaryota; Viridiplantae; Streptophyta; Magnoliopsida; Fabales; Fabaceae. The record is from RNAcentral.